RNAcentral lists this unclassified non-coding RNA (692 nucleotides) under Hevea brasiliensis (rubber tree). Lineage: Eukaryota; Viridiplantae; Streptophyta; Magnoliopsida; Malpighiales; Euphorbiaceae. The record is from RNAcentral.
GGUUCAACCAGUUAGACCCAAGAAUCAAUAGAAGUGCUUUCAGCGAAGAGGAAGAAGAAAGACUAAUGGCAGCUCAUAGAGUUUAUGGUAACAAAUGGGCCUUAAUUGCUCAACUUUUCCCUGGGAGGACAGAUAAUGCAGUUAAAAAUCACUGGCAUGUUAUUAUGGCUAGAAAAUACAGAGAGCAAUCCUUUGCUUAUAGGAGGAGAAAACAGACUGAAGCUGCUAAAAGAAGGGCGGAAGAUGGCAGUGGUUCUGCGAGCAGAAUUAAUGAAGUAGUACCCAAUCUUUGUAAUGGCAGAAUAAUCAAACCAUUUCAUCACGUCCCACUUGCUGAUGUUAAUUCUAAAGGUUUUUACGACUUGACUUCUAGUGAAGAUGCAGGCACAAGUGGUAGACUCUUGUUUGUUAGAAGCAGCAAUCUGCUCUCUCUUCCCCAAGGAUCAUGUGCAGAACAGACGCCUUUUGAUUUCUUUUCUGGUCACAAGAGUUAUGAGAUUGCGAAUCAGCAGGAGCACUGCAGUGGUACCACCUUCUUCGUUCUCCACAACAUGCAACAAUCAAGAAACCAUCACUUUUCUGCAGGCUUCUCAGACUCAAUGGCAUCAGCAACAUCUCAAGUCUCAGUCAGUGAACCAUCUUCAUCAUCAUCACUAUCGUUUGCAGAGAACAAUGCAGCCAGCCAUUUUGAG